This 140-nucleotide unclassified non-coding RNA is filed under the name soil metagenome. RNAcentral describes it as "partial internal transcribed spacer 1". The record is from RNAcentral.
GCGGUAUAACUUCCUCUUCAGGAGAACCCUUGCCUUUACGAAGCACCCUGUUGUUCCUCGGCAGGCCGGCUCUGCCAUGCCGACCGUUAAGAACCUUGCGAUAACUCUGUAUAUCGUCUCUGAGUACUAUCAAUAAGUCA